RNAcentral lists this ribosomal RNA (351 nucleotides) under uncultured bacterium. RNAcentral describes it as "bacterial SSU rRNA". It matches the Rfam family "Bacterial small subunit ribosomal RNA", at positions 70 to 422 of the family's 1533-position model. The record is from RNAcentral.
CGCGAAGAGCUUGCUCUUUGGCGACGAGUGGCGGACGGGUGAGUAAUACUUAGGAAUCUACCCAGUAGCGGGGGACAACUCGGGGAAACUCGAGCUAAUACCGCAUACGCCCUACGGGGGAAAGCAGGGGAUCUUCGGACCUUGCACUAUUGGAUGAGCCUAAGUCGGAUUAGCUAGUUGGUAGGGUAAAAGCCUACCAAGGCGACGAUCCGUAGCUGGUUUGAGAGAACGACCAGCCACACUGGGACUGAGACACGGCCCAGACUCCUACGGGAGGCAGCAGUGGGGAAUAUUGGACAAUGGGGGCAACCCUGAUCCAGCCAUGCCGCGUGAGUGAUGAAGGCCCUAGGG